AAUACACGUUGCCGUUAGACUUUUAACCACAUGUUUGACCAUUUGUCCUAUUCAAAAAAUUUAUACAAAUAUUAUUUAUUUUGUUAUGAAUUGGUUUAUUACUAUUGAUAUUUUAAACAUGACUUGUAUUUUUAUAUAUUUGCAUAAAUUUUUUUAAAUAAGACGAAUGGUCAAACAUGUGAUAAAAAGUCAACGGCGAUAUGUAUU
RNAcentral lists this microRNA precursor (207 nucleotides) under Leersia perrieri. Its description in RNAcentral is "MIR812 microRNA precursor family". It matches the Rfam family "MIR812 microRNA precursor family". Lineage: Eukaryota; Viridiplantae; Streptophyta; Magnoliopsida; Poales; Poaceae. The record is from Rfam by way of RNAcentral.